UACGUAGGCAGCGAGCGUUGUUCGGAGUUACUGGGCGUAAAGGGUGUGUAGGCGGCCUAUUAAGUUUGGUGUGAAACCUCCAGGCUCAACCUGGAGUCGCCACUCGAUACUGCUGUGACUAGAGUCCGGUAGGGGAGACUGGAAUUCCUGGUGUAGCGGUGAAAUGCGCAGAUAUCAGGAGGAACACCGAUGGCGAAGGCAGGGCUCUCGUCGGCGACUUACUGACGCUGAGGAGCGAAAGCAUGGGGAGCAAACAGG
Molecule: ribosomal RNA, 258 nt
Filed under: uncultured bacterium
Lineage: Bacteria
Description: partial 16S ribosomal RNA
Rfam family: Bacterial small subunit ribosomal RNA
Source: RNAcentral